GCCUGGCUGGCUUAGUGGAAAAAGCAAGUGAAUCUUGAUCUCAGGGUUGUGAGUUCAAGCCUCAUGUUGGGUA
RNAcentral lists this transfer RNA (73 nucleotides) under Mustela putorius furo (domestic ferret). It matches the Rfam family "tRNA". From Rfam's summary of the family: Transfer RNA (tRNA) molecules are approximately 80 nucleotides in length. The record is from Rfam by way of RNAcentral. Lineage: Eukaryota; Metazoa; Chordata; Mammalia; Carnivora; Mustelidae.